Molecule: long non-coding RNA, 710 nt
Filed under: Androctonus crassicauda
Lineage: Eukaryota; Metazoa; Arthropoda; Arachnida; Scorpiones; Buthidae
Source: RNAcentral
GUAAUCUCUCCAAAUCAGCGCCGGUUGAAAUAGACAAAACCAAAUUUUGAUGGCUCCUUUUCUGAUUUUAAGUGAAUUUGAAAACAAAAAUCAGAAAACUUAACAUUUGUUGAUUAUACAUAGAGUAUAUUACCAUCAAAAGAAUUAUAAAUGGAUGGACGAAAGCAAUUAAUGGCUUUCAAAUGUCACUUGUGAGGUCAAGAAGAUGGCAACAUUGCUGCGCUCGAUUUUAUGCGAUAGCUGCAAUCUGGGAGUUUGUCGUGGAGCAUUGGACUGUGGGCGAUGUGUUGUUUGGAAUUUUAACAACACAACACGAAUAGGAUCAGUUACAGCCAGAAUUUCAUGGGCAGUUCAGUGCAGUGCACCAUCAUGCAUCACGAUUCUUCUGUGGGUAUCGAAGUUUAGAAAAGAUGGCUCUGUUGUUAACAUGAAACCGUCAUUUUGCCAUACUAUAGACUCCAGCAAUGUGUGAAGUUCAGGUGCAGUUCAAUGGGGAUCACCUGAAAGACGUUAUUUUUAAAGUAGACAAAUUCAUAGACAUAUAAGCAGUCUUCAUGUGGUAUCUUUAUGUAUCAUUCUUUGUGAAUACAUCAUUAAAGGAUCCUUCAGACGUUCUACUGUCGUUUUAUUUCAUCUGGAAAACCGUCAAGUGUUUCUGCCCAUCCUUAUAUUAUAACAUCAGAAAAGCCAAAACGCGUAUGAACAAACAG